UUUACAAGAAGAAAUCCAGGGUUCAUCACCUUCAUAUCAAGAGAUUCAAAGGUAUCCAUGUAACUCGUCAGCCAUUGGAGGACUGAGGAGUACAAAAGUAACUCAUCAUCCGUUCAAUAUUGAGUCUGAACCGGAUCACAUCAGAGUCUAGAAUUUUAGGAUAUUGUUGUUUUGUGGCCCUAAGAAAAAAUAAAUUAUGUGUAGGCAUUCUCUAAAGUUCAUUUCAAGAUUGUAAAGCAACUUUUUCUUCAAAGUUAUUUAAGAUUUCAAAGUUAUUCUUGUU
Molecule: long non-coding RNA, 283 nt
Organism: Trifolium pratense (red clover)
Lineage: Eukaryota; Viridiplantae; Streptophyta; Magnoliopsida; Fabales; Fabaceae
Exons: 2
Source: RefSeq, a predicted model, not a curated record